RNAcentral lists this ribosomal RNA (247 nucleotides) under Pseudoduganella buxea. RNAcentral describes it as "partial 23S ribosomal RNA". It matches the Rfam family "Bacterial large subunit ribosomal RNA", at positions 145 to 428 of the family's 2925-position model. Lineage: Bacteria; Pseudomonadati; Pseudomonadota; Betaproteobacteria; Burkholderiales; Oxalobacteraceae. The record is from RNAcentral.
AGGGUAUCACUCACUGAAUACAUAGGUGUGUGAGGCGAACGCGGCGAACUGAAACAUCUAAGUAGCUGCAGGAAAAUAAAUCAACCGAGAUUCCCAAAGUAGUGGCGAGCGAAAUGGGAAGAGCCUGUACGUGAUAGUCGGACUGAUAGUGGAAGCCUCUGGAAAUAGGCGCCAUAGUGGGUGAUAGCCCCGUACACGAAAUCAGACCGGUGGUACUAAGCGUACGACAAGUAGGGCGGGACACGAG